UUAAAAAGAAGAAGAAGAACAACAACAACAACAACAACAACAACAAAUAUCCAGGCUAAGAACCAGAAUUUUUCCAGUCUCUUAGAAAUCUGGGAGGUCCUCACCCUGACUUCUGUGAUGUGCUUUGUCUGGUUUGUUUAGUUUUAUCAUCCACGUGCAUGUUCUUAGAUGGCAGCUUGUUUAGUCUCGCCUGGUGGUGAACAUAGAAAUGGGAGCAUUUACUCUUCUUUGCAGACUUGCUUUUUUGCUCAGCAUUGAGAGAUUUGUCUACCCCAGCUCACGUGCAUGUGGCCCGUUCAUUUUCAUGGUUACACGGUAGCAUUUCAUUGUAAGACUGUAACACAGUCGAUCUAUUUUACUGUUGUGGACGUUGGGCUGUGUCUGUUUUUUUUCUUUUACAAACAAUGCUUCUAAAAUCAAUUUUGUCUAUGUUUCCUGAUGCACAGAUACGAGAGUUUUUUUGGGUUCACACUGGGGAGUGGAAUUGCUGGGUCAGAAGACGUGCAUUUGUUCCAUUUUCCUGGGUAAUACCAAAUUGUUUUCCAAAGUGGUUGCACCAACGUACAGCCUGUGAACAGGGAAUUUAAGUUCUCUUUGAUCUGGUUCCUUGCCAGCACUCUGUAUUAUCAGGCUUUUAAAUUUCUGCCAGUCUGAUCUGCAAUGUUAUCAUGGCCAGAUAGUAUCUGCUUACACAUAGGCCUAUGUCCAGGCUCUAUUUUAUUCAAUUGAUCUUUCUGUCAUCGGUUCCAUUCUAUGUCAUGAUCACAGACCCUUGCAACCACUGUCAAGAUCACUUCCUAAUGGACAAACACUCUCUGAGAGAAAGUCACAGGAUGUAAACUUUUGAGAAUUUCCAGACAUUCACCUAAUUGAUAGUUUUGCUGGGUACAGAAUUCUAGGUGGGAUUGAUUUUUUCUUCUGGGGUGCUGAAGGCAUUUUGUAGCCCCUUGUGACAGAUAAUAUCUCCCCAAAAUAGCCAGAGCAAUAUGUCUUGUCCCGCAGGCACUUCUAGAACCUGGUGACUGUCAAUUAAAAUACAGACACCAUUUCUUACCUCCUGAGCCUGGGGGACUGCACAGCUGUCUUGGCAAAUGUGGCAGGAGUGAGCUUGUAUGAUUUUCCAGGCCCCAUCAGAAAAGAUGAUACGGUUACUUCCUGGCUCUCUCUCAGGACACUCGGCCCUGGAAACCAGCGUCCGUGUGCUGAGGAAGUCCUGGCUACAUGGAGAGGCCAUGUGUGGGUGUUCUGGCUGGUAAACCCAGCUAAAACUUCAGCCGAGAAUUUGCGUCAAUUCCCAGCACUAUGAUGAGCAAUCUUUCAGAUCGUUUCAGCUCCCAGAUUUUGAAUCACCCCAGCUGAUGCCAAGUGGAGCAGAAGUGUACUAUCUCCACCAAGCCCUACUCAAAUUGAAGAUCUGUGAGCAAAAUAAAUGCGGUCAUUGUUUUAACCACUAAGUUUUGGGGUAUUUGUUAUGUAGCCAAUGCAACCGGAAUUCCUUUAUGUACGCCAGCUCCUGGCUAAGCAGGCCCUGAGGAUGCGAAGGUGAGUGGGCUGUUCCCUGAUUUACGGAGAUCAUAGUAUAUUCAAUUCAAUAUAAAAAAUUUUAAACUUAAUGCAAGAGAGCGUGAGUAACCCUCAUACCCCCCAGUGCCUUGACAUCCCCUCCUGUUUACAGCAGUGUACUUGGACUCAGCAGCGCAUUGCCUUACAGUAGAAGGCACAGUGGUAGGUCUGCUUCUCUGAGGAAGUUUGAUCAGAUUUUGCUGGUGACAAGGAGGUGACAAGAAGUUGGAGAGAGAUAGGCUGCAACCUUUUUGCCCAUGCUGGCCCCGUUUGCAGUGUGGUGGUCCCGAAUGCACCUCACCUCCGCCCACUCCAAGUCUGGCAUGAGCAAGCACAGCUCUUCCCUCCCAAGCAUGGACUGGAGCAGGGAUUUAGGAAAGGUCUGUUGAACUGGGCUAGAGAGCCAUGCUCCUAAGACUUCAGGAGGCACGUUUCGACCUAGGCGACGGGCAGAGAUGCUGGGCUCUGGAACACACCGCAGCUUAGCAAGAGCCAGAAAAGCAGUCGUUGCCCUGCAGUCACUCCUGACCCCAAUGGAGCAGAAGGGGGAGGUCACUUUAGGGAAGAGUGUGGCUGCUGUGACGGGAACUCUGGUGAGGCCAGAACGGGGCAGAGGGGCACAGGAAAUCCUCCCCCCUACUCCCACGUCCAGGAGCAUAUAAGGCACGAGCUGCUGACAGCAGGGACCUUCUCUGGCCUGGCUGUCGGUGGUGGGUUGGAGCCAGGCAGGUGCUGGUGCUUGGGCUGAGGUUUGAGAUGAGGCCUUGGAAUGACCCCUUGGGGUGGCCCCAGGCUGAGCAGUGUGACGUUAUUCCUUCAAUCAUUCAAGAAAGACUUAUUGAGCAUUCAUCACCAGCAGGCACAAUGGGAAUGCAGCAAAGAACAAAAGAAGCAAAAAUCCCUCCCCUCAAAGAGCUAACCUUCUCAGGGAGAGAAUGCACAAACGGCCCAACAGGCAGCAGGCCAGAUGGAGAAGAGGCAAUGGCCAGUUAAAAAGCCUGGUGAAGUGGGAAGCUGUUGGUGGGCUUUGGAGAGAGGAAGAUGUGUGCUGACUCAUGCUGUAGGAGGAUCGUGGCUGCUGCAUUGGGAAGAGACAGAAGCGUAGGGUCCCAGAAACAUUGGAGCAUGUUGCUGGGUGCUGGUCAUGAGACAGAGAAGCCAGGGAGGACUGCGGAGAUGAUUUUGGCCUGAGCGCCAGAAUAUCCCAGCAUGAUGCCCUUAACCGAAUGACACACCUGGGGGUGACACACCCAGGAUACCCGGGAAUGGACAGACCAAGAAGGAAAAUAUUCAGCUGUGGGUGAGCUGCCCUGUCCAGACCCGCAAGUGUCCCCUGCUCCCAGCCACGCCUCUGCCCUGGGCUGCCUGUGGCCCAGUAACAGAGGGGGCACGUCGCACAGCCAGCUCGGUGGCAUUCUGACCGGCGGAGUGGGCGGAUACUCUGAGCAUCGUUCCUGGCCUCGCUGCUGUGCGGAGCAGGGCCCGGCCCCAGGCCUGUGUGCCUUGACAUGUGCUCUCUCCACUCCACCCUGCUCCCUCCGCCACAGUUUUGCAUCUUGUGUUUUUCCCUGAGCCUUCAAAGAGGAAACAAAACCUUUUCCUUACAGGAACCCAGUCUGAUCCCUGGCUAGUCCUGAAGUUCCGCCACCUCCCUUACUUCCAAAGCUAUUUGCAUUUCCUCUGCCACUGCCUGGUCAAAGUCGGCACCAUCUCUCGCUUGGCUCCUCCGUGCACCCAUCAGUCUCAUGCCCUCUGCCGGGUGAUGGAGGCUGACGUUGCACCUCACUGGGUGCCCGAGUGGUUCGGCCAAUAGGAGGCACUGCAGGCAAUGGGACGGCCAGCCCCCGCCUUACCGCGCUGUCCUCCGGCUCCUCCUGGCCUCGGUGGGACUGCGCUGCCCCUCACGGGCCCCACCUCUGCCCAGAGCCCUGUCAUUGAUUCAGUAUCACCCGUUUGAGUGCAUUGUCUUGUCCCUCGGGGACACCGGGUGGACCCAUACAUCGCAGACACUCCCUUUUGCAUACAACAGCAGAACAGUCUUUAAAAAACCUCAAUCUGGUCCAGUCUCUCCCUCCCCGAACACUUCCGUGGACUCCCAUUGUUCUGAGAAUACAAACGCAAAUCUUUAUUACCAUCGACAAUAGAGUUGCGUCCCUCAGCGGGUCAGGAGGUUAAUUGCAUGGGUUGCAUUUCUUUCCUUUCUUUUUUCUGCCUCCGUUUAAUGACACGAGAGCAGAGUAGACAGUAGAAAACACCAGCGCUCACAGCAGGGAGCCCAGGUUGGGUGAUAGUAGGAGACUUUUGUUCUGGUAACAGGCAAGCUGGUUGAGCCAGAAGGUGAUGUCUCCCCGUGGGUUGUAGUGCCAAAUGUUGGAAUCCCGGGCCUUCCCUCAUCUCCUCUCCUGCUUCUGCCUCAUCCCCAUAUCUCCCUGGCUCCCAGCCUCAACUUCUUGUCAGUGCCUCAAACCCACAGGCUCUUUUCCACCGGGGCCUUUGGCAUUUGACGUUCCCUUGGCCUGGAUUGCCCUUCCCUUAGUUCUUACCAAGAAUUCCUUCUCACGGCAAUGUCGCCUCCUCAGAGAGGCCCUCUCGGGUUGGCCCACCUGCAGCAGCUUGCCUCUGUCUUGCCAUCAAGGGACGUUGGUGCAUUAGAAUCUCCAUGAGGGCAGAAAAAGCUGUUGGGUGAGUAUUAUUACCUGUUCCUAGCACUUACUCUCAUGAGUAGUUAUGAGGUCCAUUCCCUUGUCUCCUUGCUUAUCCCCACUAGAGUAGAAGCUCCCAGAAGGUAGGCCCUUGCCUCUUGCUAACUGCUGUAUCCCCAGACCACUGCAUGGCACACAGUAAGUGCUCAAUAAAUGCCUGCUAAAUGAGUGAGUGCAUGAACUGCUUCUGUAGCUGAGAACAGGGAGGUUUCAGGGAAGCAUAUCCCAGGAUGCCUUGUAUGUUUGACCACACUGGGUGGGGGCUGGGGCUGGGGUUCAGAGGAGUGGGUGCAGGUGGGGACGGCUGCGGGCCCUCGAGCCUCAGACCUCCGGCUCCUUGCCUGCCCUGGGCCAUGCUCGUGUCAGCGCUGACAGCUUGGAGGGUCUAACACCGCCCUGACCUGACAGCUGGCGCACCCUCCAGGUUCCUGCUCCAGGGGACAGGUCCCUUCAUGUGGCAGAAAGCUCAAGGACGUGCACCAGGAGAGCCUCUGGCCUGCGUCUGCCACUUGCAGGCUGUGUCAGCAGACACGUUCCUCUUUGCAGCCCAGCCCCUCAGCUGACAAAUCAAGAUGGGAGGUAAGACUUACCGUGAGGACUGAGUGAGGCAAUGCACUCUGCAGCCGGCCCGGCGCAAGACUGGGGCGCAGUUUGACCCCGACUUGGCAUACAUCAUUCCAAAUUGUGGGCGGAGUGGGUGCCCGCCAGUUUGGCCAGCUGGAGAAGGAGCAUCUUGUCCCGCGAUGGCUACCCAUUACAUGACGGUCGUGGUUCUUGAAAGGCCACGGACUGGGCCCCCUCCCUUGGUAGCUUCCCCCGAACCCUCUUGUGUGCAGCUCUGGGAGAGCUGAGCAAUGGGGCUUGGCCUCGCAGAGUUUUUCUCUUCUUGAAGGUGGGGGUUGUGUAAAAGGCCAGCACAGGACGGGAGAAAGCGCUUAAGCUGGGAAAGCGUGUGGGGAAGGACAGGCCUCCAGGGAUGGCCGGCCUUGACUGUUAAGACAGGGGAGGUCCUGAUCUCAGCACACACCCAUCCGAGGAAGCUCCAGCUGGCCUAAAGAAGCUAAUGAGAACAGGAACCAUGGCAGCACUAGAAGGGGAUGUGUCCCUAUGUAGCAAGACGAAAAUGUGCCUAAGCCGUAUGGAACCCUGAAAGAGAGGAGUUUGCUAAACAUGACACCAAAGGCUUCUAGAAUCCGUGACUGCAUUUGGUUACGUAAAUCUAAACAAAUCUUGCAACUCCAAGAACGGGGUUGGCCACAUCCAUGGUGCACAGAAUUCAAGCAAGAGAAAGAUCAGUAUUACCACACGAAGAAGAGGAUAAAACAGGCACUCUACAAAGACACACCAACCACCAGUGAGAUGUAAACAUAGGAAAAAAUUCAACUUCACCAAUGAUCCGAGAGAUACAAAUUCAAACAACAGCACUUUUUUUUUUAAUGAUUUUUUUAAAUUAUAUUAUGUUGGUCACCA
Ailuropoda melanoleuca (giant panda) is the source of this 5735-nucleotide long non-coding RNA. RefSeq lists it as uncharacterized. The transcript has 3 exons. NCBI's taxonomy places the organism in Eukaryota, Metazoa, Chordata, Mammalia, Carnivora, Ursidae. The record is from RefSeq and is a predicted model, not a curated record.